This is a non-coding RNA of Bemisia tabaci, 1955 nucleotides long. The record is from RefSeq and is a predicted model, not a curated record. NCBI's taxonomy places the organism in Eukaryota, Metazoa, Arthropoda, Insecta, Hemiptera, Aleyrodidae.
AUGUCUAUGUGGGUGGUGUGGGCCUCGAAAUUCGGCAGACUCACUGAAGAAGUUAAUAAUCGUUGCAAUGAGAAAAAGUUUAACAUCCUCCUUGAUCAUCCUGUGAUGUUAGAUCUGCGAACAGAAUAUGAAGGAAUCAGCUCUAUGAAUCUGCGAGAAGGGUCAUGAAGACCACCUCCCCUCUGGGUGUCAACUCUUGAAUAGACUUGUCACUCGUCGCCAUUCACCGCGGAAUCCUGGAGAGGGGGAUAAUUACUGGGUAGGAUCCCGAGCAAGGGUAUAGACUUGCCAUCACAUGUGGGAGGAGGUGGUUUUAAAAUUUCCAAGGAAACACCCAGAUCCGUAAAAACAUUUUGCCUAACAACAAAACUGCACAAGAAGAAUUUGGAAGAGCUUAGUUCAUAAAAUUCAUUAUUUUUUUUAUUUGAAUAUAAAUGAGACUGCACACUAAUAUUUCGAGUACCAGUACCUUUAAUUUGAUGCAUAUGUAGCAGGCUAAAGGUCAAAUCCGGCAUUCAGGCAAAUGGCUAGGCAAAUAGAAAAGAAAUGGUAAAAAUCAUUGAAAUUCCUCGAUUGCCUAGGCAUUUGCGCAAAUGCCUAAAGAUUUGACCAAAUGCCGAAGGCUGAUUAGGCAAAUAGUAAACUCCAGCCCGGCUCACAAAGUAGCUGAAACUGCAACGUCGAGCUCAGAGCCUGCUCAGAAAAUAUGUCGUCUUGAAGCACCAAGCUCCAGCCCGGCUCAAAGUAGCUGAAACUGCAAUGUCGAGUUCCGAGCCUACUCAGAACGUGUGUGGUGAUCAACCUCAAUGCCCCUCUUGUCAAAAGCCUGGUAGCUUAAAAAAAUGCAGCUCUUGCGAUAAUUCAUGUCAUCAAGAGUGUGGUAAUGAAGACGGCGACCAACCAUUUGUUUGUAAGUAUUGUCAUGGCGAGGCAGAAAUACGCACAACAAGAGCGGAAGCCCAUCUACGACAAAAAGUUGCAGCUCAAAAAAUGACAGAAAGAAGUUCGAAAUUAUUCACACCUUUAAAAGUGGAAGAUACAAUUAUUUUGAACAUUUCAAAAUUUGAUCGUGGUCCGUUGGACCCAAAAAACAUCGAAGGAAUUGUUCUUGACGUCCGCAAUAAUGUUUACCAAAUUGGAACACCCGCAGGUGUCAUCAAAAAUUGGUGUUCGCGGGAAGAAUUAAAACAAGUAGAGGCAAUAAAAUUUGAAAUAUCUCAGGUUCCGAGGGAUAAGCUAGUGUCGGUCCGCGAAGCAGUUUCUGGCGUUUCGUUAUUUGAAGGGCAAGGCUUUGUCAAGUGUAAUUGCCAAGCCAGUAAAAAUCAAUGUGCGACCAAACGAUGUUCUUGCUUCAAAAAUCAGAGAAGAUGUUCCAGCAAGUGCCACCAACCCAUCGCGUGCUCGAACAAGUAACGCUACUGCCUCAUUAUUUUUAAGCCUCCUAGAUCUGCACACUUUGCUGGAAUGCCAACUUUAUGCAUAAGAAGACUAAUUUUAAUAGUGUAUAUUUGCAGACGUACAUCUAAAGCUUGUGUGUACCGUAUACUGGCCCCAUACAACCUGUGCGGCACGUGUUUUUAGGACACCUGGGAUCAGUUUGACCCAGCCAGGCUUGGGCAUUUAUGGAUUAAAUAGAUUGCGCUUCAGUUUAAAUAAUUCAGAUGAAAUAAGGAAAGUUAGAACCUAUAAAUGCAGAUUUAUGGAUUUGAGCAGCAAGUGAAGUGCCGAGAUUCUUCCCUGAAUGUGUAAACCUCGGUUGGCUCCAGAUUACUUGCUAUUAUUUUAUCAUGCACGGAACAGUUUUUCUCUUUCUGUUUUUCCGUCAUCGUCUCCUCUUUCAUAGUCUUCUCUUUCUUGUUCAAUAAUUAAAUUAAAAUUUAAAAUAAAAUUCUCGUCCAUAAAAAAAGAGUGUUUUUCAGCUUCCUUACUAUGAUCUAUCCUAACUUUAACAAAGG